GGAAUAUUGCACAAUGGGCGAAAGCCUGAUGCAGCGACGCCGCGUGAGUGAUGAAGUAUCUCGGUAUGUAAAGCUCUAUCAGCAGGGAAGAUAAUGACGGUACCUGACUAAGAAGCACCGGCUAAAUACGUGCCAGCAGCCGCGGUAAUACGUAUGGUGCAAGCGUUAUCCGGAUUUACUGGGUGUAAAGGGUGCGUAGGUGGAACGGCAAGUCAGAUGUGAAAACCCGGGGCUCAACCCCGUGACUGCAUUUGAAACUGUCGAUCUAGAGUGCAGGAGAGGAAAGCGGAAUUCCUAGUGUAGCGGUGAAAUGCGUAGAUAUUAGGAGGAACACCAGUGGCGAAGGCGGCUUUCUGGACUGUUACUGACACUGAGGCACGAAAGCGUGGGGAGCAAACA
RNAcentral lists this ribosomal RNA (399 nucleotides) under uncultured Lachnospiraceae bacterium. Its description in RNAcentral is "bacterial SSU rRNA". It matches the Rfam family "Bacterial small subunit ribosomal RNA", at positions 358 to 774 of the family's 1533-position model. Lineage: Bacteria; Bacillati; Bacillota; Clostridia; Lachnospirales; Lachnospiraceae. The record is from RNAcentral.